CGCCUGCGAGCUGGGUUGUGUAAAGGCUGGUCAUUUUGGGGCGCUUAGGGGUGGGUGCCGGGGGGCGCGCUUUCCCUCGUGAAGGUCGCUCCAGGAGUCAUGCGUACAUUCGUUCAUUUUGCUCUGGACGCACUGAUGUUCCCGGCUCGCCGCCGUGCCGCAGUCACGAGGCUCUCCGAACGCCUUUCACUGUGUUUCUGUUUACAUUCGCGUCUGCAAGACCCGGCGGCGCGACCGAGGCCCGAACAGAUGGAGAUGGGCUGCCAUGUUGUGAGCUGCCCCAUGGGGAAGAGGCUCACAUGUGAGGAACUGAGGGAGGCCUCCAGAAAACAGCCAGUGAAGAACUGAGACCCUCAGUCCAAUAGCCUAUGAGGAACUGAAUCCUGCUGACAACCAUAUGAAUGAGCUUGGAAGCAGAUCCUUCCCCAGUGAAGCCUUCAUGUGAGACUGCAGCCCACUUGACACUUUGAUUUGUAGCUUGUGACAGACCCCAAGCCAGAAGAGUCAGGUAAGCAGUGCCUGCACUCCUGACCCAUGGCAACUGGCAUGAUAAAUGUUUUUUCCCAUGAAGCUAUGUUUUAGAGUAAUUUGUUUUGCAGCAAUAGAUA
Molecule: long non-coding RNA, 608 nt
Filed under: Homo sapiens (human)
Lineage: Eukaryota; Metazoa; Chordata; Mammalia; Primates; Hominidae
Description: HSALNT0303026
Source: RNAcentral